CUGGUUACUAUUGAUGUUCAUUUUGAGUUACUUCAUGUGUUUAAAUGUUACUUCUGCGAGCAAGUUUGAACAUGUUUUCCCGUCUGCAACUCAAAAAAUAAGAUUAAUUGAUAUGAAUUGGUCCUAAAGAUAUAAAUGGAAGAGUCAAACAUGGCGGAUAUAGAAAAAACUAUUGAAACAACAUAAUGCUUAAUAUGAAAUAAUUACAGAAUAAGGACAUAGAACGCAAAACAAAAAAGAAAUAAAGUAAAGAAGUUGGAGGAUAAGAACAAGUAAUAAAAGUACAGGAUAUCAAAGCAGUGAUGGAUGAAUGGGAGUGAGCAAAGCACAUGUGAAGUGCAGGUGUGGGUGCGUACGCACGUGGGAGCCUCUGGAUGUCGAGGCUGCAGCACUGGCAGUGUCAGUGGCAGUGAUGGCCCCUGCUCUGACGGAAGGCGGUCCUCAAAAGCCUGAAAACUUACUCCCUUCCCUUCCAGCUAGCGGAUUUCUUUCCCCAGAGCAGGCUACCGAAGUGUGUCAGAAUCGUGAAAUUCUGGCUAAAUUUGUUGUCUCAGCAAACGUUCAACCAUCAAAGAUUGAUGAACAGUGUUUACAUGGUAUAUCUAAGGAUCUCAUUCGUGAUGUCAUCAACUCGAAAUAUGCCAAUGAUCUUGAUAGUUUGUCUACAUUUACGCACGGAUCUGACUUGAUUGCAAAGAAAGCAUCAAUAAAGGAGGACUGUGAACAACCGGAUAUUCCGGGCAGUCCAGAAAAGAAGGCGACUGAUAUUAUAAUGAACGACCCAUCUAUGGGUGAUCAAGCGGACAAUAUGGGUUUCUUAAAAUCAAGUGCAGACUUGCCUUUGGUGGGCUCAGAAGCUGCAGGAGACAAUAAAACUCUGGAUGUGGAUCAAAUAAUGGCCUUUGGUACCGAUAUAACUACAGAUAAUGAGCAGUGUAAUAUGGGCAAUGUCAGUGAUAUUGGACAGAAUGUUGAAGAGAUUUUACAAGUUAUCAAGUCAAUUGAGGGAGUUGAAAAUGCAGAAAAUAUAUCUGCUGGCAGUAACGAACCAGUGCAAAGCACUGUGGAUGGAGUGGAAAUGUUCUCUAUGCCCGAGGAAGGAUUUUCAUCCUUUGAACGGGAUUUACUUAAUGAUGUUGAUGUUAUGAGUCUUUGCAAUAAUAUGAACAUUGCUGAUGUGGACCAACAGAAAAUUAACACCUUAAAACUGCAACAAGACAUUGUUGCACAAAAACAAUAUGAAAGUGAGAGGAGAUGUGCAUUUUUAUUAAGAAGACUGAGGAAGCUUCAAGCAAGGAUAGUAGGCAGGCACGUUGCAGAAGAAAAUACUGGAGUUCUUGAACUUGCUCAUCAUGGAGUGAAGAAAUAUCUUUUUCAAGAAUUGGUUAAUAUCAGUUCUAAGUCUAAUGUUAGAAACUUUCCUGAAAUUAGUAGUAGUUUGAGUUCAUUUUUGCAAAAGAUUGAGAAAAUGUGUGUUGCCCAGAGCAAUAGUGUGAACCGUCAGCGAUUAUGUUGCCGAUACUUUGGUGGUGGAUCGCGUGACAGUUUAAGUAGUACUUCUGGCAAUAAUAGUAAUCGUCAACCAGUGUUUGGUACUCCUCAAGUUAAAAUUAAAGGUGAUGAAGUGGAGAGUGUAGCUGGACCUUUAGCUACACAAUUACAUAUUGUGGAGUCUAAUCUUGAUUCUGAUUGUACUGCGUCUAGUAGUGGUGGAGAAAGCUGUGAUGAAAUGCAGUCAUUUAACAAUCCACAUCAACAACAUUUAUCAAUAUCAAAAAGAGCAGCAUGGAGGUAUGCUCAAGAUCGUGCAGGUGUAGCAGCUAGAUGGACAUGGUUACAAGCACAAAUAUCAGAUUUGGAAUAUAGAAUUAGACAGCAUAAUGAAUUGCAACGACAUGUUAGAGCUAACAAAGGCUUAGUAAUUCUUGAUAAUGCAGAAACAGUAAACGGGUAUAGUGGUGUUUUGCCAGGUUCUACAGGACGUUAUAAUUCGCCGGAAGGUGAAUUACCAGCCAGUAGGACACGGCCGUUUGCGUGGAGUUUUUAUAGGAAGAGAAAAUUGUUACAAAUAGACAGGUUACAUGAAUUUUCGAAACGGGCAGCAAAAGCAUCAACAGUAAGAUGCAACUGUGAUCAUGUAUUACCUCCAUGUGCUUUAUGUACUGGAAGAUUGGAUCCAAUGCAAAUGCAAGAACCAAUUGAACAGAUGUCUGUGCAAGAACGAGUUGCACUUGUUGAUCCUAGUUUUCAUCCUGUUUUGUCAUUUCCUGAUGAAGUUACGCAAGGAACUCAUCUUGAAGCUAUUAUGAAAUCAGUGGAAUGGCAACAAAAAAUGUUACGGGGAAAUUUGCGAAUUACACGCUUAAAAGAUAAAGAAACUAAUGAUAGAAGAAAUAAAAAACUUCCAGGGCAUAGAGCAAAGUAUGCAGCUCGAUUGAAAAAAUCAUCUUCAAGUAUUCUCACUGCAAGAAUCAAGAGAAAAAUGUUAAAAGGAAAAAGGAACAGACUCAGUCACGAUAGAAGUGUACAUGGUUUAAGCAGAAAGAGGGUACAGAAAUUAACAACUGAAGAUGAUGACGAUAUUAGUGCCCUUUCCAGCUCUAGUAAACAUUCAUCUCCAGUGCCUUCACCUCUUCACCAUACUACUGCUUCUACGGAGAAAAAUACAAUUAAAGAAAAAAGUUCUAUUUCUCAUGGGCGCCUGAGGCAAAAUUCAUAUGACAUUGAUAAUAUUGUUAUACCCUAUAGUGUAGCUGCUUCAACUAGGCUUGAAAAAUUACAGUAUAAAGAAAUAUUAACACCAAAGUGGAGGUUAUGUGAGGAACCUUUAAAAUUAGAUAUUAAAAAUGGUGUUAUGCACAGGCCUAGUCAAGACAGUGAUUUCGAAGAUAUGUCAGAUGAAACUAUUGCUUUGAGGCACGAACGAAGUGAACGAGAAGAAAAUAAACGUUUUAUGACAUACAUCACUCUGCCACAUCAGUCACGUAUGCGACACAAUCGCAGAACAGAUAGCCGAGCAGAUAGUGGUGCGAAUACACCAGACCCUAUGUCUCCUCAUGCAAGUGAUUUUGGUGGAGAUAUGAUGUCUCCUAUUACGUCACCUCCUGCAACUCCACAAGUUCAAGAUUCAGAACAUCAACAUAAUUCGGAUACACAUCGAUCAUCUGCUUUGCAAAAUGCUUUGCGACGUCGUACUACGCCUACUCUAAGAUUAGGGAAAGACGAUACUAGUACUUUAAUGAACGAGGACGAAAAUGAGAUUUUGCCGUAUGAACCGAGGGUAUUUCCAUUAUCCGAAGAAGUUUACGACAAAAUGCUGGAAGUAAUGCCAGACGGUCAUUGGCAAGCUUCGUCAGCGUCUCUAUGUUCUCGCGAAGAAGAAAAGGCAGAUGAUGUACGUACAUUGUGUUUGUAUUAAAUGUUUCAUUGUUAAUUAUCUAAGUCAGAACUUUUUAUUACAAACAAAUGUCUGACUGCUCGUACUGACUAUUAAUGUAAACUUUGAGCCAACUUUCAUGGCUCCUCGAGGCUGUUUCUGGAUGGGGAAAUGGAUUCUCCAGAAUCAGAUUCAACAGAAUCAGCUUGUUGUGACAUAGAAGGUGAGGAUCCCAAUGAUCCUGAAUGG
Molecule: unclassified non-coding RNA, 3625 nt
Filed under: Megachile rotundata (alfalfa leafcutting bee)
Lineage: Eukaryota; Metazoa; Arthropoda; Insecta; Hymenoptera; Megachilidae
Description: kAT8 regulatory NSL complex subunit 1, transcript variant X1
Source: RNAcentral